This 255-nucleotide ribosomal RNA is filed under the name uncultured bacterium. RNAcentral describes it as "partial 16S ribosomal RNA". It matches the Rfam family "Bacterial small subunit ribosomal RNA", at positions 99 to 354 of the family's 1533-position model. The record is from RNAcentral.
CGGACGGGUGAGUAACGCGUGGGCAACCUACCGUAUACAGGGGGAUAACACUUAGAAAUAGGUGCUAAUACCGCAUAAGCGCACAGCAGUGCAUACUGGAGUGUGAAAAGCCGAGACGGUAUACGAUGGGCCCGCGUCUGAUUAGCCAGUUGGCAGGGUAACGGCCUACCAAAGCGACGAUCAGUAGCCGGCCUGAGAGGGCGGACGGCCACAUUGGGACUGAGACACGGCCCAGACUCCUACGGGAGGCAGCAG